This 510-nucleotide ribosomal RNA is filed under the name uncultured bacterium. RNAcentral's name for it is "partial 16S ribosomal RNA". It matches the Rfam family "Bacterial small subunit ribosomal RNA", at positions 28 to 507 of the family's 1533-position model. The record is from RNAcentral.
GACGAACGCUGGCGGCGUGCUUAACACUUGCAAGUCGAACGAAGAGCGAUGGAAGCUUGCUUCUAUCAAUCUUAGUGGCGAACGGGUGAGUAACGCGUAAUCAACCUGCCCUUCAGAGGGGGACAACAGUUGGAAACGACUGCUAAUACCGCAUACGAUCUAAUCUCGGCAUCGAGGAUAGAUGAAAGGUGGCCUCUACAUGUAAGCUAUCACUGAAGGAGGGGAUUGCGUCUGAUUAGCUAGUUGGAGGGGUAACGGCCCACCAAGGCGAUGAUCAGUAGCCGGUCUGAGAGGAUGAACGGCCACAUUGGGACUGAGACACGGCCCAGACUCCUACGGGAGGCAGCAGUGGGGAACCUUCCGCAAUGGACGAAAGUCUGACGGAGCAACGCCGCGUGAGUGAUGACGGCCUUCGGGUUGUAAAGCUCUGUUAAUCGGGACGAAAGGCCUUCUUGCGAAUAGUGAGAAGGAUUGACGGUACCGGAAUAGAAAGCCACGGCUAACUACGUG